Molecule: long non-coding RNA, 1186 nt
Organism: Vigna unguiculata (cowpea)
Lineage: Eukaryota; Viridiplantae; Streptophyta; Magnoliopsida; Fabales; Fabaceae
Source: RefSeq, a predicted model, not a curated record
CUAAAACUAUUGGGAUUUUUUCUAUCGAUGGAGCAAAACGCGGGUGUCAACUGUGCCAAAGACCGUCUUCAUAGCGGGGUGUUCCACUCUUUUAGGGUUUCACUGGCACAUUUUUUUACCUUUUUUCAUUCAUUUCCCAUCUAUUACUCUCCAUACUUUGUACUCUGAAUCUUGUUUACUUUUUCUCACAUUUGUUCACACUCAGGCACAGUCAAACACGUCAAUCUCUCAACACUGCAAUUAAAUUGUUCUCUAGGUUGCGCAAUCCGGCAUGCAGGCAUCAAAGGCAAGGCUGGCUGUACAAGGAGUACAAAGAAGUGCAGCAAGAGAAAGACUGUUGAUCCUGAUAUUAAAGUAGUCUUUGUUGAUUCUAAUAUUUUUAAAUGGAAGGGUCUUAUCAAGUUGGGGUCCCUCUGAGACUCCUUAUGAGGGGUGCGGGUUCCAGCUUACUUUAUUCUGGAGCAGUAUUCUCUACAGCCACCUCAAGUCCUGUUUUUGACUAAAAUAUUUCACCCAAUGUUCACUUUAAGGCUUCUUACAUGGCAUUCAGGGAGCCAGGCAAGCGCAUCAUUUCACCAAUGGGAGAGAUAUAACAAUUUUCAUUAAGAGGGACAGAAUGAGUAAGAGGAGGCUAUCAAAGAGGAGGGGAAUACUCUAGUUCUUGUGCUCAAGUCAAAAUGACUUUGAACUCCAAGCAGGUCUCUGUAGUUUUUGCUUCUGGAGCCAAUGAACCUAUGGGGUAUUUAAGGAGACAGAAGUGAGGGGAGAGACAAGAGAAAAUCCAUGAAAAAGAGGGGAGAAAAGGAAGAAUUAAGGGUACAAUUGGCAAAGGCGGCAACCAAGCCUUGGUUGUAACAAAUAGUUCCACCAGAUAGAGCCAAACCUCCUGGGUUUUACAGACGAUGCCAAAACCAGUCAAUAAGACAAGGCCAGAGUUGCAGUGAGCGUUAGCUGAGUUUGAUGCUGGGGUCCGUUUCUCACAGAACCGAAGCUGGAUCAAAAUAUGGACAAAUGUGAUCAUCUAACUCAUACUCCAUCACCAUCAAACGGUACUUAAUAUUAUAGAAAAUUUGUGCAGUGUCCAUCACUGGAUUAAAAUAUCUCUAGCCGUUGUAUAAGUAUGUUUCAUCCUUUAACUAUAGUAACAAUUUAAUAAUUAACAGAAAAGAACUGUACUGGCAUGAGA